CGGAGGGGCUAGCGUUGUUCGGAAUUACUGGGGCGUAAAAGCGCACGUAGGCGGAUCGGAAAGUUGGGGGUGAAAUCCCGGGGCUCAACCUCGGAACUGCCUUCAAAACUAUCGGUCUUGAGUUCGAGAGAGGUGAGUGGAAUUCCGAGUGUAGAGGUGAAAUUCGUAGAUAUUCGGAGGAACACCAGUGGCGAAGGCGGCUCACUGGCUCGAUACUGACGCUGAGGUGCGAAAGCGUGGGGAGCAAACAGGAUU
RNAcentral lists this ribosomal RNA (255 nucleotides) under uncultured bacterium. RNAcentral describes it as "partial 16S ribosomal RNA". It matches the Rfam family "Bacterial small subunit ribosomal RNA", at positions 527 to 779 of the family's 1533-position model. The record is from RNAcentral.